UACCCUGGCACCCCAAAUUUCGAUGUGUCGCCUGCCGGGCGCUAAGCGCCGGUGUUGAGAGGCAGCGGCCGCCGCGCCCGGGAAAAUGCUGGGCAUGUACGUGCCGGACAGGUUCUCCCUGAAGUCCUCCCGGGUUCAGGACGGGAUGGGGCUCUACACGGCCCGCAGAGUGCGAAAGGGUGAAAAGUUCGGACCCUUUGCUGGAGAGAAGAGAAUGCCUGAAGACUUGGAUGAAAAUAUGGAUUACAGGUUGAUGUGGGAGGUUCGUGGGAGUAAGGGAGAAGUUUUGUACAUUUUGGAUGCUACCAACCCACGGCACUCCAACUGGCUUCGCUUCGUUCAUGAGGCACCAUCUCAGGAGCAGAAGAACUUGGCUGCCAUUCAAGAAGGAGAAAACAUUUUCUAUUUGGCAGUUGAAGAUAUAGAAACAGACACGGAGCUUCUGAUCGGCUACCUGGAUAGUGACAUGGAGGCUGAGGAGGAAGAACAGCAAAUUAUGACAGUCAUCAAAGAAGGGGAAAUUGAAAAUUCUAGAAGACAAUCAACAGCGGGCAGAAAAGAUCACCUUGGCUGUAAAGAGGACUAUGCUUGUCCUCAAUGUGAAUCGAGUUUUACCAGUGAGGAUAUUCUUGCUGAGCAUCUUCAGACAUUGCACCAGAAACCCACAGAGGAGAAAGAAUUUAAGUGCAAGAACUGUGGGAAGAAAUUCCCAGUUAAGCAGGCUUUGCAAAGACAUUUUGAGCAGCACCAGGAGACUUGCCGGGGGGAUGCCAGGUUUGUGUGCAAGGCUGACAGCUGUGGAAAGAGGCUGAAGAGCAAGGACGCCCUGAAAAGACACCAGGAAAAUGUCCACACUGGUGAGGAGUCAUUGGAGGGUCGUUUCCGAAGGGGCUUCUUUUCCCCAGGCCGCAGCGGUCUGUUUUUAAUUCGCACUCUUGAGGAGAGAGCUGGCUUUUCCAUUGUGUUUCACACAGAUGUGGAGCGCUGGCAGUGGAUUUUUUUCUUUCACUGAACACUAUUUCUUUCUCAGGUUGAAUUUAGCAGCAUUUGUUCUUUUUCCCAUUUCUGAAUUAAUUAUAACUGUAAGCCUUAGUUAAAGUCUAGUUAUGUUUGGGUGGGCAGAUGCGUUAAGAAUUAAUAUUUUUAAGUAACAAUUUUAAAUGUUUUGGCAUAUGACAUUUCUUUUAUAAAUUGUUAAAAUUUAUGGUUAUUAAGUGAUGUCCUUCUGCCUUAUUAUUUUUACAGUA
Molecule: small RNA, 1247 nt
Filed under: Pongo abelii (Sumatran orangutan)
Lineage: Eukaryota; Metazoa; Chordata; Mammalia; Primates; Hominidae
Description: retained intron
Source: RNAcentral